CCUACGGGUGGCAGCAGUCGGGAAUCUUCCGCAAUGGGCGCAAGCCUGACGGAGCGACGCCGCGUGAGCGAUGAAGGCCUUCGGGUUGUAAAGCUCUGUGGGGAGGGAAGAAUAAGUUCAAGUGAAUAUCUUGAAUGAUGACGGUACCUCCUUAGCAAGCACCGGCUAACUCUGUGCCAGCAGCCGCGGUAAGACAGAGGGUGCAAACGUUGUUCGGAUUUACUGGGCGUAAAGCGCGUGUAGGCGGCUUUGCAAGUCGGAUGUGAAAUCCCACGGCUCAACCGUGGAAGUGCAUCCGAAACUGCAUCGCUGGAGUCUCGGAGAGGAAGGUGGAAUGCUUGGUGUAGAGGUGAAAUUCGUAGAUAUCAAGCAGAACACCUGCGGCGAAGGCGGCCUUCUGGACGAUGACUGACGCUGAGACGCGAAAGCGUGGGGAGCAAACAGGAUUAGAUACCCUGUAGUC
Molecule: ribosomal RNA, 463 nt
Filed under: Salmonella enterica subsp. enterica
Lineage: Bacteria; Pseudomonadati; Pseudomonadota; Gammaproteobacteria; Enterobacterales; Enterobacteriaceae
Description: bacterial SSU rRNA
Rfam family: Bacterial small subunit ribosomal RNA
Source: RNAcentral